RNAcentral lists this ribosomal RNA (508 nucleotides) under uncultured bacterium. RNAcentral's name for it is "bacterial SSU rRNA". It matches the Rfam family "Bacterial small subunit ribosomal RNA", at positions 344 to 842 of the family's 1533-position model. The record is from RNAcentral.
GGAGGCAGCAGUAGGGAAUCUUCGGCAAUGGACGAAAGUCUGACCGAGCAACGCCGCGUGAGUGAAGAAGGUUUUCGGAUCGUAAAACUCUGUUGUUAGAGAAGAACAAGGAUGAGAGUAGAACGUUCAUCCCUUGACGGUAUCUAACCAGAAAGCCACGGCUAACUACGUGCCAGCAGCCGCGGUAAUACGUAGGUGGCAAGCGUUGUCCGGAUUUAUUGGGCGUAAAGCGAGCGCAGGCGGUUUCUUAAGUCUGAUGUGAAAGCCCCCGGCUCAACCGGGGAAGGUCAUUGGAAACUGGGAGACUUGAGUGCAGAAGAGGAGAGUGGAAUUCCAUGUGUAGCGGUGAAAUGCGUAGAUAUAUGGAGGAACACCAGUGGCGAAGGCGGCUCUCUGGUCUGUAACUGACGCUGAGGCUCGAAAGCGUGGGGAGCGAACAGGAUUAGAUACCCUGGUAGUCCACGCCGUAAACGAUGAGUGCUAAGUGUUGGAGGGUUUCCGCCCUUCA